UACAGGGGGUGGCAAACGUUGCUCGGAAUCAUUGGGCGUAAAGCGCACGUAGGCGGUCUGUUAUGUCGGAUGUGAAAGCCCUUGGCUCAACUGAGGAAGUGCAUCCGAAACUGGCAGGCUAGAGUACGAAAGAGGAUCGCGGAAUUCCCGGUGUAGCGGUGAAAUGCGCAGAUAUCGGGAGGAACACCUAUGGCGAAGGCAGCUGCGCUGGGACGUUACUGACGCUGAGAA
Molecule: ribosomal RNA, 231 nt
Filed under: uncultured bacterium
Lineage: Bacteria
Description: partial 16S ribosomal RNA
Rfam family: Bacterial small subunit ribosomal RNA
Source: RNAcentral